GACAGAGGCCUCAAGCGUUAGGCGGAAUCACUGGGCUUAAAGCGUGUGUAGGCGGCCCUGCAAGUCGGAUGUGAAAUCCCACGGCUCAACCGUGGAAGUGCAUUCGAAACUGCAGGGCUAGAGUCCUGGAGAGGAAGGUGGAAUGCUUGGUGUAGAGGUGAAAUUCGUAGAUAUCAAGCGGAACACCGGUGGCGAAGGCGGCCUUCUGGACAGUGACUGACGCUGAGACGCGAAAGCGUGGGGAGCAAACAGG
RNAcentral lists this ribosomal RNA (253 nucleotides) under uncultured bacterium. RNAcentral's name for it is "partial 16S ribosomal RNA". It matches the Rfam family "Bacterial small subunit ribosomal RNA", at positions 524 to 776 of the family's 1533-position model. The record is from RNAcentral.